CAGUAGCCGCGGUAAUACGAAGGGUGCAAGCGUUAAUCGGAAUUACUGGGCGUAAAGCGUGCGUAGGCGGUUUGUUAAGUCGGAUGUGAAAUCCCUGAGCUUAACUUAGGAAUUGCAUUCGAUACUGGGAAGCUAGAGUAUGGGAGAGGAUGGUAGAAUUCCAGGUGUAGCGGUGAAAUGCGUAGAGAUCUGGAGGAAUACCGAUGGCGAAGGCAGCCAUCUGGCCUAAUACUGACGCUGAGGUACGAAAGCAUGGGGAGCAAACAGGAUUAGAUACCCCCGUAGUCCCUGUCUCUUAUAC
This 301-nucleotide ribosomal RNA is filed under the name uncultured bacterium. RNAcentral's name for it is "partial 16S ribosomal RNA". It matches the Rfam family "Bacterial small subunit ribosomal RNA", at positions 509 to 807 of the family's 1533-position model. The record is from RNAcentral.